UGGGUUAGUGGCGGACGGGUGAGUAACGCGUGGGUAACCUGCCUUACACAGGGGGAUAACACUUAGAAAUAGGUGCUAAAACCGCAUAAGCGCACAGCUUCGCAUGAAGCGGUGUGAAAAACUCCGGUGGUGUAAGAUGGACCCGCGUCUGAUUAGCUUGUUGGCGGGGUAACAGCCCACCAAGGCGACGAUCAGUAGCCGGCCUGAGAGGGUGAACGGCCACAUUGGGACUGAGACACGGCCCAAACUCCUACGGGAGGCAGCAG
RNAcentral lists this ribosomal RNA (266 nucleotides) under uncultured bacterium. RNAcentral's name for it is "partial 16S ribosomal RNA". It matches the Rfam family "Bacterial small subunit ribosomal RNA", at positions 88 to 354 of the family's 1533-position model. The record is from RNAcentral.